GGGGAAUUUUCCGCAAUGGGCGAAAGCCUGACGGAGCAAUACCGCGUGAGGGAUGACGGCCUAUGGGUUGUAAACCUCUUUUUUCAGGGAGGAAUAAAUGACGUGUACCUGAAGAAUAAGCAUCGGCUAACCC
RNAcentral lists this ribosomal RNA (133 nucleotides) under uncultured bacterium. Its description in RNAcentral is "partial 16S ribosomal RNA". It matches the Rfam family "Bacterial small subunit ribosomal RNA", at positions 356 to 503 of the family's 1533-position model. The record is from RNAcentral.